This 245-nucleotide ribosomal RNA is filed under the name uncultured bacterium. RNAcentral describes it as "partial 16S ribosomal RNA". It matches the Rfam family "Bacterial small subunit ribosomal RNA", at positions 524 to 768 of the family's 1533-position model. The record is from RNAcentral.
UACGAAGGUGGCAAGCGUUACUCGGAAUUACUAGGCGUAAAGCGCAUGUAGGUGGUUAGGUAAGUCUGUGGUGAAAUCCUCCGGCUCAACUGGAGGGGGUCCAUAGAUACUACCUGGCUUGAGUGUGGGAAGGGAAGGCAGAAUUCCUGGUGUAGCGGUGAAAUGCGUAGAUAUCAGGAGGAAUACCGAUGGCGAAGGCGGCCUUCUGGCCCAAUACUGACACUGAGAUGCAAAAGCUAGGGGAG